GACGAACGCUGGCGGCGUGCUUAACACAUGCAAGUCGAACGGAAAGGCCCUGCUUUUGUGGGGUGCUCGAGUGGCGAACGGGUGAGUAACACGUGAGUAACCUGCCCUUGACUUUGGGAUAACUUCAGGAAACUGGGGCUAAUACCGGAUAGGAGCUCCUGCUGCAUGGUGGGGGUUGGAAAGUUUCGGCGGUUGGGGAUGGACUCGCGGCUUAUCAGCUUGUUGGUUGGGUAGUGGCUUAUCAAGGCUUUGACGGGUAGCCGGCCUGAGAGGGUGACCGGCCACAUUGGGACUGAGCUACGGCCCAGACUCCUACGGGAGGCAGCAGUGGGGAAAAUUGCACAAUGGGCGGAAGCCUGAUGCAGCAACGCCGCGUGCGGGAUGACGGCCUUCGGGUUGUAGCCCGCUUUCGCAUGUGACGAAGCGUGAGCGACGGUAAUGGGUAAAGAAGCACCGGCUAACUACGUG
Molecule: ribosomal RNA, 468 nt
Filed under: uncultured bacterium
Lineage: Bacteria
Description: partial 16S ribosomal RNA
Rfam family: Bacterial small subunit ribosomal RNA
Source: RNAcentral